UAGUCCACGCCGUAAACUAUGGAUGCUAGCUGUUGGUCGUAUCGACCCGAUCAGUAGCGAAGCUAACGCGUUAAGCAUCCCGCCUGUGGAGUACGAGCGCAAGCUUAAAACAUAAAGGAAUUGACGGGGACCCGCACAAGCGGUGGAGCGUGUUGUUUAAUUCGAUGGUAAGCGAAGAACCUUACCCAGACUUGACAUCCUUGGAAGGAUAGCGAAAGCUAACUGUGUCCUCGGAAACCAAGUGACAGGUGUUGCAUGGCCGUCGUCAGCUCGUGUCGUGAGAUGCUUGGUUAAGUCCAUCAACGAGCGCAACCCUUGUAGUUAGUUGUAUUUUUCUAGCUAGACUGCCCUGGCAACAGGGAGGAAGGAGGGGAUGAUGUCAGGUCAGUAUUACCCUUACGUCUGGGGCUACGAAACACGCUACAAUGGCCGGUACAAAGGGAAGCCAACCCGCGAGGGGGAGCAAAUCCCAUCAAAGCCGGUCUCAGUUCGGAUUGCAGGCUGAAACUCGCCUGC
This 516-nucleotide ribosomal RNA is filed under the name uncultured bacterium. RNAcentral's name for it is "bacterial SSU rRNA". It matches the Rfam family "Bacterial small subunit ribosomal RNA", at positions 791 to 1319 of the family's 1533-position model. The record is from RNAcentral.